RNAcentral lists this transfer RNA (88 nucleotides) under Candidatus Heimdallarchaeota archaeon. RNAcentral's name for it is "tRNA-Leu". It matches the Rfam family "tRNA". From Rfam's summary of the family: Transfer RNA (tRNA) molecules are approximately 80 nucleotides in length. Their secondary structure includes four short double-helical elements and three loops (D, anti-codon, and T loops). Further hydrogen bonds mediate the characteristic L-shaped molecular structure. tRNAs have two regions of fundamental functional importance: the anti-codon, which is responsible for specific mRNA codon recognition, and the 3' end, to which the tRNAs corresponding amino acid is attached (by aminoacyl-tRNA synthetases). tRNAs cope with the degeneracy of the genetic code in two manners: having more than one tRNA (with a specific anti-codon) for a particular amino acid; and 'wobble' base-pairing, i.e. permitting non-standard base-pairing at the 3rd anti-codon position. Lineage: Archaea; Promethearchaeati; Candidatus Heimdallarchaeota. The record is from RNAcentral.
GCGGGGGUAGCCCAGUUAGGUCAAAGGCGUGGGGUUUAGGACCCCAUCUCGUAGGAGUUCGUGUGUUCAAAUCGCAUCCCCCGCACCA